UCUUCCUGUAACCCUAAAAAUAGCCCAUCUUCUUCUUUUCUUCUUCCUUCUUCUCUUCUAAACUAGCCGCCACCAUCGCCCAAUCUUAUUUAACCAUUGUAAAGAUCCGAAACAUACAUAUAUUAGUUUCUCGGUUAGAUUUGGUUCAUUUAUAUGUUAUCAAGCUAGCCGCCACCAUGUCCAAAUCUUGUUUAACCCGUCGGCAUGUCAUUUAAAUCAGUAUUUUUGUAUGCAAUCACUAAUCAAGAAAAAAAAAUAAGAAAAAUAAGAAUACUCUCGGGGCUAAGGAGACUGUACGUGGAAUUUCUUUUGAGAUAGAAGAAUAUAAUUGAGUCCCUAAUUGUCCAAGAGUCGAAAGAACUGGUGAUGGCAGAUCCAGAGAAACAAAGAUGAGGAUUGAAUAAAAUUUGGUUGCAAAAGCUAAUUGUUGAAAGAAAUUUAGCCGUAAAAUCUAUAAAAAUUUGUUUCAAUUUUUAGUUAAAUUGGAAUAUAUUAUUCAAGUUUAAGAUCGAUGUUAUUUUAUUUUAUUUUUUUCAUAACAAGGUGAUUUUUUUGUCUAUGAAGAUUACUGUUUGAUCAUUUUUACUCAUUUUUCAACUUA
Papaver somniferum (opium poppy) is the source of this 601-nucleotide long non-coding RNA. RefSeq lists it as uncharacterized. The transcript is spliced from 2 exons. The record is from RefSeq and is a predicted model, not a curated record. Lineage: Eukaryota; Viridiplantae; Streptophyta; Magnoliopsida; Ranunculales; Papaveraceae.